Molecule: ribosomal RNA, 463 nt
Filed under: uncultured bacterium
Lineage: Bacteria
Description: partial 16S ribosomal RNA
Rfam family: Bacterial small subunit ribosomal RNA
Source: RNAcentral
GACGAACGCUGGCGGCGUGCUUAACACAUGCAAGUCGAACGGAAAGGCCUUUUCGGAGGUACUCGAGUGGCGAACGGGUGAGUAACACGUGGGUGAUCUGCCCUGCACUCUGGGAUAAGCCUGGGAAACUGUGUCUAAUACCGGAUAGGACCGCACUUUAGUGUGUGUGGUGGAAAGUUUUUUCGGUGUAGGAUGAGCCCGCGGCCUAUCAGCUUGUUGGUGGGGUAAUGGCCUACCAAGGCGGCGACGGGUAGCCGGACUGAGAGGUUGGUCGGCCACAUUGGGACUGAGAUACGGCCCAGACUCCUACGGGAGGCAGCAGUGGGGAAUAUUGCACAAUGGGCGCAAGCCUGAUGCAGCGACGCCGCGUGGGGGAUGACGGCCUUCGGGUUGUAAACUCCUUUCGCCAGGGACGAAGCGUUUUGUGACGGUACCUGGAGAAGAAGCACCGGCUAACUACGUG